AAGUAUAAUUUAGCUAUUUGGCUCUGGUAGGUUGUCGGUUUUUUCUAGGCUUACACAUGGUAUUUUUUGAGUGUUGGGAGUUGUUUAGUUGCUGAUGAGUUUUUAAAUAGAACUAACAAAAGCGACUGAGGAGGUUCGUUGAGUUGCGUUGUUGAAUGAAUGAUAAAAUCCCCGUAUCUCCAGUGUUUAAUAUUAAGAAUUUAAUUGUGUGGAAACACAGCCUUAGCCAAAGAAAAUAAAAGAAGGAAAUAAAGUGCCAGCACCUGCGGUCAAACUUUUUGCUUUAAGCCGAUAUACUUGUAUAGCGGAAAGUUGGUGAAUCUUGGGUUAGUUUUUGUCUGUUAAAUUGGUAAAAUAUUUAUAGAUAAUUAUUCUUAGUCCUUAAAACCAGUUCUUUUGAAGUCUGUAAUAGGAACCAGGAUUAGAGACCCUGUUACUGAAGAUGUAAAAUUCAAGCUACGGGGACUACGAGCAUAAGUGCUUAAAACCCAAAGAGCUUGGCGGUUUCUCAUACCCAUUUAGGGGAACUUGGCGGUUAAACCGAUAAUCCACGAUUUAAUUGUACUCUUUUAUUUCUUAACAUACCGCCGUUGUCAAUCCACCCUUAAAGGAAAUGCUGGGGGUUUGUGUAGUUGGAAAAAACUAUUGAAUUCAGGUAGACGUGUUGGUUAAAAAAGAGGCUUAGCUGAGUUACAGUUGAUAGUCAAAACGAAUUUUUUUUUGUGAUAAAAAAAUGAAGGUGUACUUAAAAGUAAGCUUUUUGUGAGUUUUUGGAGCUGAAUUGAGUAAUUGAGUUGUGUACAAAUUGCCCGGCACCCUCGUAUAGUUAAAAUGAGGUAAGUCGUAACAUAGUAAUACUACCAGAAGGUGGCGUUUUAUAAA
Molecule: non-coding RNA, 882 nt
Filed under: Solen strictus (Gould's razor shell)
Lineage: Eukaryota; Metazoa; Mollusca; Bivalvia; Adapedonta; Solenidae
Source: RNAcentral